Molecule: ribosomal RNA, 717 nt
Filed under: Pseudonocardia sp.
Lineage: Bacteria; Bacillati; Actinomycetota; Actinomycetes; Pseudonocardiales; Pseudonocardiaceae
Description: bacterial SSU rRNA
Rfam family: Bacterial small subunit ribosomal RNA
Source: RNAcentral
CCUGGCUCAGGACGAACGCUGGCGGCGUGCUUAACACAUGCAAGUCGAGCGGUAAGGCCCUUUCGGGGGUACACGAGCGGCGAACGGGUGAGUAACACGUGGGUGACCUGCCCUCCACUCUGGGAUAAGCCCGGGAAACUGGGUCUAAUACCGGAUAGGACCACUGAUCGCAUGGUUGGUGGUGGAAAGUUUUUUCGGUGGGGGAUGGGCCCGCGGCCUAUCAGCUUGUUGGUGGGGUGAUGGCCUACCAAGGCGGUGACGGGUAGCCGGCCUGAGAGGGCGACCGGCCACACUGGGACUGAGACACGGCCCAGACUCCUACGGGAGGCAGCAGUGGGGAAUAUUGCGCAAUGGGCGGAAGCCUGACGCAGCGACGCCGCGUGGGGGAUGACGGCCUUCGGGUUGUAAACCUCUUUCGCCAGGGACGAAGAGCAAUUGACGGUACCUGGAGAAGAAGCACCGGCCAACUACGUGCCAGCAGCCGCGGUAACACGUAGGGUGCGAGCGUUGUCCGGAAUUAUUGGGCGUAAAGAGCUCGUAGGCGGUGUGUCGCGUCGGCCGUGAAAACUUGGGGCUUAACUCUGAGCGUGCGGUCGAUACGGGCAUCACUUGAGUUCGGCAGGGGAGACUGGAAUUCCUGGUGUAGCGGUGAAAUGCGCAGAUAUCAGGAGGAACACCGGUGGCGAAGGCGGGUCUCUGGGCCGAUACUGACGCUGA